UAGUCAAAUUAGGAAAAGAUACCUGCAGUGAAAACUAGAGUCUCAGGUCCUUCAACUGUUGAGCAUCACAGUACACUACACAUUAUCACUUGUUUGGUUGGACUUUCAGUUAGCAGUUGAAUUACUGUACUAGCGUCCAACGAAUGAAAAAUAAUUGUAGUUUUUGAAUUCAAUCACUUUACUUUCAUAGAAAAUUGUUAUUGAAUAUCAAAAUAAUUGUAAAAAUAAAUUUUUUUUUAUUAGGAAAUUGUGAGGAGGAUGUUAGUCACAGG
Molecule: unclassified non-coding RNA, 272 nt
Filed under: Hevea brasiliensis (rubber tree)
Lineage: Eukaryota; Viridiplantae; Streptophyta; Magnoliopsida; Malpighiales; Euphorbiaceae
Source: RNAcentral